This 253-nucleotide ribosomal RNA is filed under the name uncultured bacterium. RNAcentral's name for it is "partial 16S ribosomal RNA". It matches the Rfam family "Bacterial small subunit ribosomal RNA", at positions 524 to 776 of the family's 1533-position model. The record is from RNAcentral.
UACGUAGGGGGCAAGCGUUGUCCGGAAUCAUUGGGCGUAAAGAGCGUGUAGGCGACCUGGCAAGUCUCGCGUGAAAUCUUGCGGCUCAACCGCAAGCGGUCGUGAGAAACUGCCUGGCUAGAAUCCGGAAGAGGAGAGCGGAAUUCCUGGUGUAGCGGUGGAAUGCGCAGAUAUCAGGAAGAACACCCGUGGCGAAGGCGGCUCUCUGGGACGGUAUUGACGCUGAGACGCGAAAGCGUGGGGAGCGAACAGG